Astatotilapia calliptera (eastern happy) is the source of this 311-nucleotide long non-coding RNA. The record is from Ensembl. NCBI's taxonomy places the organism in Eukaryota, Metazoa, Chordata, Actinopteri, Cichliformes, Cichlidae.
CACGGACGUCUGGUGUCGGAGUAUUAUCGCUGUCACAAGUGCCUGUUCCAUCGCCUGCCCGCCUACCUAGGAUUUUCUGUUGGCUAUUCUGGAUCCGCGACGGAGUGCUACAUACCAUCAGGCGGCGAUCACCGCAGUGGUUUUGGUUUAGGUGGUCAAGUAACUCCGGUGUGUCUGCUACCUACCUGUAUGCUUCGGCUCCGUCUCAUCGCCUCGGUGUUUUUCUCCUGGCACGUUUUAUUUUAUCACUGUAUAUAGCCCUUUCCCUUGUAAAUAUUCCCCCUUACUUGUGGAUAUAAAAGACUUGCAUC